This 253-nucleotide ribosomal RNA is filed under the name uncultured Anaeroplasma sp. Its description in RNAcentral is "partial 16S ribosomal RNA". It matches the Rfam family "Bacterial small subunit ribosomal RNA", at positions 524 to 776 of the family's 1533-position model. The record is from RNAcentral. Lineage: Bacteria; Bacillati; Mycoplasmatota; Mollicutes; Anaeroplasmatales; Anaeroplasmataceae.
UACGUAGGGAGCGAGCGUUAUCCGGAAUUAUUGGGCGUAAAGGGUGCGUAGAUGGUUGAUAUAAGUCUUUUGUAAAAAUGCUAGGCUCAACCUAGUAGGGCAAAAGAUACUGAUGAACUAGAGUACGGCAGAGGCAAGUGGAACUACAUGUGUAGCGGUAAAAUGCGUAGAUAUAUGGAAGAACACCAGUGGCGAAGGCGGCCGCCUGGCCUGUUGCUGACGCUGAGGCACGAAAGCGUGGGGAGCAAAUAGG